GCAAGGAAAGCUGAAGCCGAAAUCCCGCCGCCAGUCUGUGUACCAGCUUAGUGUAGUGUGGUCACCCAGGGAAAGAGUGAGAGAGUUCCGGGAAAACACUGCUGGAAGUGUUCACACUUCAGGAGAGACGGCAUCAACACACCAUGGGAAAUGCCAUACGAAACCCAACCCUUUCAGCAUCACCCACCACGGCGGCCGGACUGGAACAGUAAGACAUCACCAUGCUGUUCUCUCUCUCCUUGCCUGCUUCAGUCUUCACACGGCCUCAUCUGGCAAUCUUGAACUCUAUGUCUUUGAGGGGUUUUCUCUAAUGUUAAUAAACUGUCUUCCCUUAAGUGGCAAA
This 343-nucleotide long non-coding RNA is filed under the name Rattus norvegicus (Norway rat). RNAcentral describes it as "long non-coding RNA NONRATT012515". The record is from RNAcentral. Lineage: Eukaryota; Metazoa; Chordata; Mammalia; Rodentia; Muridae.